This 166-nucleotide ribosomal RNA is filed under the name Dianthera pectoralis. Its description in RNAcentral is "5.8S ribosomal RNA". The stretch from base 1 to 79 matches the Rfam family "5.8S ribosomal RNA", at positions 78 to 154 of the family's 154-position model. Lineage: Eukaryota; Viridiplantae; Streptophyta; Magnoliopsida; Lamiales; Acanthaceae. The record is from RNAcentral.
AAUCCCGUGAACCAUCGAGUCUUUGAACGCAAGUUGCGCCCGAAGCCUUCGGGCCGAGGGCACGCCUGCCUGGGCGUCACGCAUCGCGUCGCCCCUUCCACCCGCUCCCCAAGGAACGGGGGGCUGGAGAAUGGCCUCCCGUGCGCUCCCGUCGCGCGGCCGGCCC